Sus scrofa (pig) is the source of this 2461-nucleotide non-coding RNA. NCBI's taxonomy places the organism in Eukaryota, Metazoa, Chordata, Mammalia, Artiodactyla, Suidae. The record is from RefSeq and is a predicted model, not a curated record.
AUUACUGAUUCAGUGGUUGGUACAAUCAGAACAAAUAUCAGGACUUACUGGAAAUACUGAAACAAAGACUAAUCUCUCCUUCCUUUGACAGGGUAGGUGGGACUAGAACUAAAGCAGGCAUCUUGAAAUCAUGAGGACAAGGAAGCACUAUGGAAGCUCAGAACCAGGAGAGCCCAUUGAUGCCUGCACUAGAAGAUAAAGCAGAGCGGUUUAGAAUGAAGGUGACGGAGAAGAGCCAAGUGAAGAGCAAUGCCUACAGUCUCACCUCAAACCUACUGAAUCAGAGCUUCAAGGCCAAGGUCAGAAUAUCUGCAUUUUUGUUGUUGUUGCAUCUUCACUGGUGAAUUUAAUUAUGUGCACCAAUGACCCAGAAACUAAUGUGCCUGGGGCAUCAUACUUGCUCAAUAAAUAUUUUUACUUGAGUGAAAAACUCUAGAUAAUUUUCAAUAGUUUAUUAGGUUGACAUUUUAUAGCCAUGUAGAAUUUGGGUUCUGCAUAUAGACCCAGAGCAUGACAUAUCUCUGAGUAAUGUUUCGUAUAUAUUUCAAUGCCAAAAGAAGUGAUGUUUGGGUUUUGUUUCCUAUUCAGGCUCCAGGGAGAACUUGAGGUACUGUUUCUUCCCUCUUGACAAGUAUCAUUUUACCUAUGAAGUUGCAAGAUCCUAAUUAUUGACCCUACUGCUCUCUUAUCCCUGAGAGCAGUUGGGUACUGAUCGGGACCCAUGGCUGGCCUCUAUGCUCAGCAAUGAUUCUGGUCAAGGCUUCCUUUGGGUCAGUCUUAUUUACCUUACAUGAACAAACAUCUUCUUCACCAGCUAAGCCACACAAUUUUUUUUAGUAGCUGAUCAAUCUGCCUUAUUACGACAUGAAACCCAUAUGAUAUUUACCUAUUUUUAAAGAAUAUUUUUUAAAGUGAGGUCUAAGAUCCAUGGGAAUGGGAGAGUAGGCAGCUACCUGUGCUAGCAUAGGCAUUUGAUGGGAUCAAAAAACAGGGAAAUAUUGGCUUGUGUGAGAGGGGCAGGAGCAAGGAUAAAUGAAAAUGGGAGCCAUGACUACAGCUCAUGUCACAUAAAAAGAAAGCAUGAAGGGCCAUGAGGAGUGAGGCAGGUAAGGGCAUGAGAGAGGGUGGGCCAUGAAAAAGGUCUAGCAGGAAGUGACAGAGCUGUUGGAAUCUCAGAAAACCCAUUCUUAAUCUCUACCAUGUUGAAAGUUCACUCAGAGGACCUGCUGCAUCAAAAGCCCCUGGGGAGCUUCUUAAAAUGCACAUUUCUAACUGGAUUGUGUGCAAUGAUUAUAUAACUCUACAAAUGUACUAAAAAUCCUUAAAUUCAAUAUAUAAAACAGGUGGAUUUCACGGUAUUAUAAAUUAUACCCCAAUAAAUUCAUUUAAAUGCAGAUUCCUAAGCAUCACCUAAAACCUUCUGAACAAGAAUCUCUUGUAGCAGAACCCAGCAAUCUCUAUUUUAACAACUUCCCCUGAUGAUUUUGAAGCCUGAUAAAGUUAGAGGUGUACCUGUCAACAUAGAUGAAUCAUAAAAUAUUACAGUUGAGUGGAAUUCAGAACAACAUUUAUGUAAAUUAAAAUUCCAUACAGAUUCUGCAUGAACACACACAGAGCAAUAUGUUCCUUUGGAAUGGUUGGCUGCAGUAAUGAUAGGAGACAGAGAUAGACAGCAUGCCUUAGAGGAGAGGCUUGGAACAUGAAGAGCCUACCUUUAAAUUCUCAAGGAGAGAAAGUAUCCCUUUUGUCACAUUCCCAGUGUGCCUAUUCUAGUUUUAGAGCAUGCCUGAUUUCGCUAUUUAACAGGGGUCUCUUUCAAUGCCAUGCAAGCCCAGUACUUCCUGAUCUAUCAUGAGAACAACAAGUUUCAACAACAAAACCACAAAACAACAGGGCAAAGAGUGUUUAUGGCUGCCUACUGGAGUGAUACCCCAGGGAGAAAUGAAGGAUUUAGAUCUCAAGUUCAACUGAGUCAGUUCUCCACUGAUUACUUUUAUAUCUCCAAAAAAAGGCCAUAAUUAAAUACUUUCAAUUCCUGAACUAGUCACAGAAAAAAUAUCAGAGUAAUUAGUAACAGGAAGCAUGGAUCAAGAACAUGCAAUUAAAUCUAUUGGGUUAUCAUUUAUGUCUAAUCCUCCUGAGCAUAAAUCAUUAAUACAGAGUUCCAGGAGUUCUCUCUCUUCACCAGAGGUGAAGGAUUUCACCAGGGAUUCUCAAAGUGUGGUUCCCUGACCAGCUGCAUCAGCAUGGCUUGGGAACUUGUUAGAAAUAUAAAUUCUUGGACUCCACCCCAGACUUACUGAAUAUAAGCUCUGGGGAUGGGGCUAGCUAUUUUGGCUUUAACAGGCCAUCUGUGUACCUUAGGGGCACUGAACUAAUGAACCUCUGCUCCACUUUUAAGAAGGGAGGUAGCUCAGCCAUACUACUGACAGAGGAGGUGAGCAAUCUUUAACUGGGUCAA